UGUUGUGGCGUACAGAAAAUACCGUAAAGAUUUUAGUUCGCUAUUGGCCACUAGACUGCAGCUAGAUAGCGGAGGUCCCCUUUUGGUUACUAUUGCGCAUGACACGCAUUAAGUAGUGUUUAUCUUUAUAAAGUCAAGAAUAAUUUAGGAGGAUUAUUUUAUGUAAUUUUCAGCUAUUUUAGGAUUAAAUUUUAAUAAAAAUGGUGAAGUGUUGUACUGUUUUAAAUUGUUUGAGUGGGAAAAAAAAAGAGCGAAAGAAAAAUAAUGACUCCAAUCUUCGACAGACUUCUCUAUUUAAAAUUCCACAAGAUGUCGAUAAAUUGCGCAAAUGGAGCUCAGCAUUAUGUCAAAAUUUGACACCAGACAAAUUUGUUUGCGAGUUACAUUUUUUGGACGAUGACAUGAUUAAAAAAGAUAUGCUACCAAUAUUUAAUUAAGAUACUUAUAUUUCAAAUCAAAAGAAAUAUACUUUAAAGCCGAAUGCCAUUCCGAGAGUUGAUAGAAUUCCAAAUGUCGUGGAAGCUGCUAAUUUGCAAAUAGAUUCUGAUAAUGUACUUCCGGCCGCUAGAACUCCUGAAGUUGAAACUUUUAGUAGUACUCCGGAUCUUAAUGAAUCUGAAAAUACUCAACAUGAAAAUUUAAGUCUAAGAGAAACAAAUUUUAACAGUGAUAGAUUAUUGGAAACUUUGAAAACUAAUAUGUUGCCCCAAAAAUGGAGCUGGGCUAGUGAUGUAACGGAUAAUCAAAAAAUAUUUUUGUUUUAUGCUGAUCCCAAAUCUUUAUCAUUAAAAUUUCACGUUAAGAUAGAUGAAAUAUUAAAUAUUAUGGUGACUAACUUGAAAACCAAUAAGUCGACGGCAGUAACAUUUACUCUUUUAAAUAAAGAAGAUUUUUGGGAUUUAUUAAAAGAACUAGAAAUUAUUAAUUUUUGUGAUGGCACAGAAUUCGAUAGCAACAGGUGUUCAGUAAGUUGUAAAAAUUUGGUGACAAAUGAAAAUCAACGAUAUUAUCAUGGUAUCACCCGAUGUCAACCUUGCCGAACUCUUCGGCGUCAACUCCAAAACCGUGAUAAUAAAAGUACCCAAAAUUUAAAACUGCAAUGUAAUAAGCUUAAACGUCAAUUAAUUUCCUAGAAGAGGAAGACUACGCUUACAGCGAAAGAUAAAUAAUGAACUAUCGAAAUUGAUUGAUGAUCAAAAAAUGAAAUGUGCUGCUGUUGAGGCUGAGACUCUAGAAAAGGCCAUCGCUGAUCUACCUGAAAUCCAACAAAAAACUGUUCGAGCAUGUUUCGAUGCAGCUAAAGUAAAAAAUUCCAAACAAAGGAGAUACGAUAUUGAGUGGGUAUAUGAAUGCCUAUUAAUGCAGAUAAAGGGAAAUUUUACCCCUCCCUUGUAAAGACACGCUAAAUUCCUACAUAAAAAAAUUGGAUAGCGCAUUCGGUUUUCCUAAUGUUAUUUUUAAUACACUCGGUUAUAAAGCUUCACGUAUGGAAGCACAUUCCAAAAGGGGUACACUUCUUAUUGACGAAGUAGCGUUGAGUGAAGGAGUCAAGUUAAACACGAGAACAAUGAAGCUAGAUGGAUUCGUUGAUAUGGGAGAUUAUACGCCAGGAAAAUUUUCAAAUACAAGAGCAGAUCAUGCUCUCGUAUUUAUGUAUCAGCCAUUUCAAGGUGAUUGGGUACAAGUGGUUGGAAGUUUUCUCAGCAAAAGUUCUGUUACUAGUGAAAUAUUGUCUAAACUGAUAAUAGAAUGUAUAGUAUUAAUUGAAAAAGCUGGGUUUCAUGUGGAUUGUGUUACGACCGAUGCAGCCCAAUGGAAUCGGGGUGCAUGGAAGUUAUUUGGUAUAGAAGAUAGAAAAUUUAUCUGUAAGCAUCCUUAUGAUACUGAGAGACGACUAUGGUUUGCUUCUGAUUUUUGCCACUUGCUGAAAAACUUCAGAAAUGGAAUAAUUAAACUCCCUUCUUUCUGGACUCUGGAUGGUAUUAUCAAAACGCUUCAUUGGGGAGCACUUUUGAAGCUUGAGGCAUAUCCCUCGCGGAUCUGGAAUCACUGUAAAAUCACAGUGAAAUCAUCGUGAGAUUAUAGUAAAAACAUUGUGAGACCAUGAUGAAAUUACAGUGAAAUCACCGUGAUUUUGUGUCAUUCGGUCACUGUAGUUUUAUGGUUAUCUCACAGUAAUUUAAUAGUGGUUUCACAGUGAUCUUAUUAUGUUAUUACAGUCGCUUCAUAGUUACCUCACAGUGGUAUUGCAGUGAUUUUAGUGUAGUACCACAGCCAAUUCACAGUGAAUCCACAGUG
RNA transcript from Microplitis demolitor, 2298 nucleotides. RefSeq lists it as uncharacterized. NCBI's taxonomy places the organism in Eukaryota, Metazoa, Arthropoda, Insecta, Hymenoptera, Braconidae. The transcript is spliced from 8 exons. The record is from RefSeq and is a predicted model, not a curated record.